Long non-coding RNA from Heterocephalus glaber (naked mole-rat), 21068 nucleotides. NCBI's taxonomy places the organism in Eukaryota, Metazoa, Chordata, Mammalia, Rodentia, Bathyergidae. The record is from Ensembl.
CUCAGCUGUCAGGCGGGCGGCCGGAGACACAAAGAGCGCGGUGGGCGGCGGCGGCCGGGCGGCCACUCCCCGCCCGCUCCGCUCCGGCCGGUCCGAACGGCGGAGACAAUGCCUGCCCGGCCGCCGGUCCUGGGCAGCGCCCCCGCCGGGACCUCGGGCGCCUCCGCCCCCGGCCGGGAAAAGUUUGCGGCGGGACGGCACCGCGUCCGCGCUUUCCGCGGCCGCUUUCCGGACUCGGCGUCGGCGGGCACAGGGCCGGAGGCACCGGCCGGCCGCGCUCUGGAAAGUUGCUGUAGAAGAAAGGGGAAAAGGAAGACGCUGCUGGAGGAGAUCAGUAGCUCUGGAGACGAUGGAAGUUUACGUUUCUAAAUGGUUUGGAAGGUGCUACAUUAAGAGGAACUGGGAAGAUUCACAAUGGUGGACCUCUGAGGAAUGGAAAAAACAGAAUCAAGACCAGAAGAGCUGGGAAGAUAAGAUGAGCAAGUGGCCCAAGAUGUUCCAGGCAGUGAAGAGACCAAAGGCUGGAAGGUGGCUGGGGUUUCUGGGUGAAGGUGGUGGAUGGAUGGUAUGUGUUGAAGUUAAAGUCUUUCAGGAGUCUCCGAAACAUUGUUGUAAAGCAGAACUCUGUGAGGGCGAGGAGAGCAAGAGAAAAAGUAACAGCAGCACCAUUUUUUUUCAAGUUCUUUUAUUGGUACAUUUUAGGUAUACAAUUCGUUUACAUUUAUCACUGGGUGCUUGUACCUGUACAUGACGUAUCUUGCUUCUUAUUUUUUUCCUCAUUACCUGUGUGCCCUUCACCCCCUCCACCCUUCCCUAUUUACAUAGAUUUCAUUUCCAUUUUUUUCCUUUUCUCAUAGUUUUUCCUUUCCCUCCUUUCCUUUCCCCUUCCCCUCUUUUCACCUCUUCGUCUUUGGACUUUUUUCCUAUUUCAAAUUAUCAAUUAUUCAUUUUAAUCAUUUUAACCCUUGUUUACACUAUCAGUUUCUCACACUGAAACUAUUUGGUAUUUACUUGUGUGUCCUAUUCAUUUCACUUAAGAGUAUGGCCUCUAUAUGCAUCCAUUUAUCUAUAAAUGACUGUAGUUUUUCGUUCUUCAUGGCUGAGUAGUACUCCAUUUUAUAAAAAAAACAAAAACACAUCUACUUUAUCCAGUUUCCAAUUGAUAGGCACUUGGGCUGCUUCCAAGCUUUACCUAUUUUAAACUGUGCCGCUAUGAACAUGGGUGCACAUAUAUCGCUGUGGUAUGAUUCUUUUAAUUCUUUUGGGAAGAUACCCAGCAGGGGAAUAGCUGGGUCAAAUGGGACCUCUAGUCCUAGUUCUUUGAGGUAUCUCCAUACUGAUUUCCACAGUGGUUGCACUAGUCUACACUCCCACCAGCAAUGGAGAAGGUUUCCUUUCUCCCCACACCCCCACCAGCAUUUGUUAUUGGUUGAUUUCUUGAUAGCAGCCAUUCUUUCUGGGGUGAGGUGGAAUCUCAAUGUUGUUUUCAUCUGCAUCUCUCGAAUGACCAGUGAUGUUGAACAUUUGUUCAUAUAUUUGUUUGCUGCUUUUACUUCUUUGUCUGAGAAAUGUCUGUUCAUUUCAGAUGCCCAUUUUUGAAUUGGGUCUUUGAAUUUGGGAGGUCUGAUUUUUUUUCAAUUCUUUAUAUGUUCUAGAUAGUAGUCCUUUGUCUGAGGUACAGCUGCUAAAAAUUUUUUCCCAUAUUGUAGGUUGUCUGUUAGCUCUGUUGGUGGUUUCUUUUGCAGUGCAGAAGCUUUUUAAUAAGAUGAGAUCCCAGUUGUUGAUUCUUUGUGCUAGUUCCCAUGCUACUGAGGUUUUGUUCAUGAAGUCUUUUCCUAUGCCAAUGUCUUCAAAAGUUCUACCGAACUUAUCUUCCAACAAUUUUAGUGUUUCUGUCUUAGUAUUUAGAUCUUUAAUCCACUUUGAUCUUAGUUUAGUGCAUGGUGAUAGGUAUGGGUCUAGUUUUAAUCUUUGGCAGGUUGAAAUCCAGUUUUUCCAACACCAUUUAUUAAAUAGGCUAUCUUUCCUCCAAUGAUGGUGGUUGGCUCCUUUGUCAAAGAUGAGGUGGCUGAGUAUGUCUGGAGUUGCUUCUGCAUCUUCUAAUCUAUUCCACUGAUCCUCAGGUCUGUUCUUUGCCAGUACCAUGCUCUUUUUAACACAGUAGCUUUGCAGUAUAAUUUCAAGUUGGGGAUUGUGAUACCCCCAGCCAUGUCUCUCUUGCUUAGAAUUGCUUUUGCUAUUCUAGGUCUCUUCUUGUUCCAAAUGAAUUUUUGGAUUGUUUUCUCUAGUUCUGUGAAGUAUGUUGUUGGCAUUUCAAUCGGCAUUGCAUUGAAUCUGUAUAGUAGUUAUGGAAGUAUGGCCAUUUUCACUAUAUUGAUUCUUCCUACCCAGGAACAAGGGAUGUCUUUCCAUUUUCUUAUAUCCUCCUCAAUCUCCUUUUUCAGAGUGCUGUACUUUUCAGUGUAGAGGUCUUUUGCUUCCUUUGUUAGAUUGAUUCCUAGAUAUUUCAUUAUUUUGGAUGCUAUUGUAAAAGGAAUUGUUUCCCUGAUUUCUCGCUCAGUGAGUCUUUUAUUUGAGCAGCAUAAAAGUAGGUAGCAGGACUGAGGAUUUAGCUCAGUGCUUCCGGUGCCUGCCUCACAAACACAAGGUCGUAAAUUUGAUCCCCGGUACCAAAAAAAAAAAAAAAAAAGUAGGUCGCAGAAGUAUAAAAGACAAAACCUUCAAAACAAAAAUUUGAAGGGAAAGUUGAGGAUACCUCCAUGGAAAUAGAACAGAUCCACAACAACAAAUGGAAAUAGGGGGAAAAAAUUAAGUUAGCCAGCCAGAUUAUUGAUCAAAUCUGUAAUAGGAACUCCACAGAGUGGUCAGAGAAAAGUGUCAGUAAUUCAAGAAAAGUCUUUUUUUUUUUUUUUUGGCACUGGGGAUAGAACUAACCAUUGUGAAACCACUGAGCUAAAUCCCCGGCCCCAAGAAAAGUCUUUAUGACCGAGAAACAUGUUCAUAGGGCCAGGAUUUAGCUCAGCAGCAUAGCACCUACCUGGUAAGAGCGAGGUCCUGAGUUCGGUCCCCGGUACCAAAAAAAAAAAUGUUCACAGGACCCAAAGAGAGCCCACUACAAGGUAUAUCACCAGUGAGUUUCAGAACAUCAAGGACAAAAAUGUCCUGACAUUAGAAGCAGGUCACAUACUAACUGGAGUCAGAAUGGCUGUGGGCUUCUCCGCAGCAGCAAGUAGAAAUUAGAAGGCAAGAAAACAGCCUUGGGAAAUGUAAAGGAAAAUUCUUUUCCACCCUUCACCCAGGUGAACUAUAAACCUAGUGUAGUCGGCAUCCCUUCCCAGCAAGGAUGUUUCCUGAGAAAUGCCGUCAGGCAAUUUUAUUAUUGUCUGAAUGAACAUUGUACUGUGAGGUCUCAUAAACCUGCAUGGUGUAGGUCAGCUAAUCCAUGUGGCCUCUUGAGCAAUGAAGAGACACAAGUUGCUGCCUUUGUCCUGAGCCUACUAUGUGCUCUAGUUGGACAAGUGUCCCCAGAGGCCCGUGUGUUAUAUAUUGGUCCCCUGCCCAGGUUCUCUUGGAGGUGGAGCCUUAAAGACCUUAAAGGGCCUUGUGAGAGGUCUUAGCUCAUUAAAGGAGUGCCGGUGAGGGGAUAUUGGGGCCUCUGCCUCUUGUCUUCCCUUCUGCCUCCCAGCCCCUCCGUGUGUCUCCUCCGUGUGUCUCGUCGUGCUGUGCUCCACUGCCGCAGGCUGGGAGCAACAGGGCCAAUCAGCCUUGGUCUGAAACCUCCAAAAUCAUGAGCCAAAAUAAAGCUUUCCUGUUUUUUUGUUGUUUUUUUUAAAAAAGAGGAACUGGGAAACAAGAACACAAGGUAUGUGGGGUCUCUAUUAUAUCCACUCCAUGUAAAUCUUUGAUUAUUUCAAAACAAAUUUCUAUUAAAAAAUGAAGGAGGACUCUUCAUUUUCAUAAAGAUCAUGAUCAGACAAAAUGAACUAUAUUGUAUAGAAGUAUGGGUAGUAGAACUGAAGAAAAUAAAAUGAUUGUUAUAAAACUCAGUCUAGUGGCUUCCUCCACAGUGGGAGUAGGAGAUUGUCACUGGGGAAUAGUAAAGGGUGGGUGUUCUUGACCUUCAAGAUCUUUACACUUCUGUAUACUUCAAUUCAUUGAACUGUACAUCUAUGAUUUUAAAACUUUUUAUAAGAGAAGGUGCUGACUAGCAGCCCAUAGUUUGUUGUACCCUAGUCUAGUACUCAAAAAGAUCUCAUAGUUCCAUAAAGUAAAAAUAUUUGACCACAAUAACACUGAAAAUUAAAACUAAAACUAAAAGAUGGUGAGCCUGGAAAUUAAAGCAUCAUGUAUUAAAUAAUUAUUAGGUGUAUGAGUAAUAAAACAAAAAUGGUGAAUUUCUGAAAAAGAACAAUAAUAAAAACUAUGCAUCAGAAAUCAUGGGAUACAUUUAAAGCAAUGAUUAGAGAGUGAUUUAUAUACCUAUAAAAUGAAUGAAUAAAAAUGAGUUAAAUUUCCAACUCAAAAUACUAAACAAAGUACAAAAUAAACAGAUAAAGGUAUAAGAAAGGAAUUACUAAAAAGAUUAAUGAAGUUGAAAACAAAAUCAGAAAUUCAUCAGAUUACUGGCUCCUGAAGAAAUAAAACAGACAAACCACUACAUAAUCAAAGAAGAAAGAUGAAUAAUAAAAUAAGAAAUUAUAUAGAACUAACUGUGAUAGUGGGAAUUUUUUUAAAAGUCACAACUACUUUUGUGUAUCUACCUGUAUGCAUAUAAAUUUGAAACAUAGAAGAAAUGGAUAAUUUCUAAUGCAAAUAUUCUAUACUCAAACUGACCCCAAUCGAAUUUGAAUGUGGUAGUAUAUACUUAUAAUCCCAGCCCUCUGGGAGGCUGAUGCAGGAAGAUCAUAAGUCUUAGCCCAGCCUGGCGACUUAGCAAUUUAGCAAGAUCUUGUCUCAAAAACAUAAAUUAAAGGGCUUGAGAUGUAGCUCAGAAUGAAGGCCCUGGGUUCAAUCCUAGUAUUGCAGGAAAAAAAAAAAAAAAAAAAAAAAAGAACAAAUAACUUCAGUAAUGUACUAGAGAAUGGGCUCUGAGAACACAUUAAGACGUUAAUGCAUCACAAUCAAACUAGAUUUAUAUUGGGGAUGCAAAAUGAUUUCUAUUUUUAAAAAUAAAAUUUACUAUUUAAUAGGCAUCUGGGAAAGAUGAUUUUUCUUUACAGGUGUUAAAAGUUGAUUUUGGCAAAAUUCAACCCAUUGUCAGUUUAAAAAAAAUUGUAAAUAGUAAUGAACACAAGGCAUUUCCAAUGAGGUCAGGAAAUAGGUUAGGGUGCCCACUAACUCCCCUGGAAUCUGGCACUAUCGGAAUGCAACACUCACAGCAGUCAGACUAGAGGAAAUAACCAGAGGUACGGGAGUAGGAAAUAAGUAAGUUUACUCAUAUUUGUAGAUGACAUUGUAGCACAUGUGAAAAAUCCUAGUGAAUCCAUAAUAAAAUGAACUCAAAGAAAAGUCAGUAAAGUAGCAGGAAGUAAAAUAACAUGUAAAACUCAGUAUCACUUAUAUGCACAUACAGACGCUAAUUAGAAGAUACAAUGAAUGCAAAACACCACUGUAAUAAAUGGUAACAAAAAUACAUAAUGAAAAUAAAAAUAUUUAGGAACAAACUUAUCAAGAAAUGCCCAGAACCUAUGUGAAGAAAACUAUAAAAUACUUCUAUGAGACAUAAAAAUAAGUCUGUAAAAAUGGAGAGAUAUUUCUUAUCCUUGAUUAGCACAUCUCAACAUUAUCAGGUUGUAAGUUCUUCCCAGAGUAAGUUACAAAAGCAAUCCCAAUAAAAAUUCCCAUGGACUUUAACUUCUGUAUGCAAAGAGAACAUAGAGUGAGAAAUGCAGAAGAGGAGCGAAGACAGAUGAAAGAGAGAAAAGGCAGAGAGACUCCAAGUGUGGAAAUGGCUUGAUCCCCAUGGCUGAUGGGGAUGGAGGGAGGGGGCCCCUAGUCAGACAAUAGGAGCAGAUUCUCAAAGGUAAGAAACAAAGCCAGCCUAGGCCCUGCAAAGAAAUGAGGACUUCUCAUUUCCCACGGGCAAGUGAACUCUACAGCAAUACUGGGAGUUCCUUCCCCAGUAACACUGAUUUGGCCUUUGGGAGCUAGGGCAGAAAAGCAGCCAGGCCAACCCACAGAACAUGAAAGCACUGUAGGAAGACAAUAGUGCUACAAGCUCUGCUGACCACAAACCUAUGCUCCAAACAAGAGAUGACAUGUAUACAUGCGGUAUGUUACGGAUAAUUACACUGAAGUUAAUUGAAUUUUUAAAAAAUAAGUGAGAAUAGCCAAGAAAGUUUUGACAGAACUAUCAUGAAAGAAAUUUGCCUUACCCAGAUUGAAAAGUUUUAAAAGGUGCAAUAAUGGAAAUGGAAUAGUAUUGUCUCAGGAAUAAACAAACAUAUUGAUGAAACAGAAAUGUGAGCCUACAUAUAAAAUUAUGUAUGUUAUAAAGAUCAUUAGAAGCUGAUAGAUAAAAAUUAUUCAAUAAAUAAUACUAGGACAGUUGGUAAAGUAUUGAGGGAAAUUAAAUUAGAUCUUUGCAGUAUUAAAAGUAAAUCAUAGCUAGAUUAAACAGUUAAAUAUUUUGACAACAAUUAAGCUUCAUUGUCAACUUGUCUUGUGAGCCACUUACAGGAGUAGUAAAGCAUACAUUACUCAAGAAUGGGUCAUGGAGGUGGUUCAUGGCUCCUUCCUCUCUGGUACUGUUCCCUGCUCUGCUUCCCAGCUGCCAUGAACUAAGAAUUUUUGCUCCACUGUAUCCUUUUGCCACGAUGUUCUUAUCUAGGAGCCAGCCAAGCAUGGACUGAAUCUCCUGAAACCAUGAGCCACUCUAAACUUCUCUUCUUUUAGGUUGUGAGUGUUAAGUAUUUUGUUCCAGCAACAGGGAAGCUGAUACAUUUUUUAAAAGCCAAAUAUAAAAUAUUUAUAUAAUCUGAAGGUAGGGGGAAAUUUUCAAAGCAUUAUAGCAACCUUAAAAAUCCACAAGAUAUAGGACUCAUAAAUAAAGACAAUCAAAAUCAUACAUAUAAAAAUAUGCUAAACAAAAUAUGAAUAAUUUGGAGAAAUAACUGCAAACUUACAACAUAGAACUAACAGUUGUAAGAUGUGAAACAUCAUUCAGACAGAAACUUUUUAAAAAUGGGAAAUAUAAAUAACUAAAUGUUUCAACACCAAGAAUGAUCACAAGAGUUUCUAAAAUAUAAGUUCUGUAACAUUGAAAGCAAUCACUUCUGACUGAAAAGUUACUCCUUCAUGAAAUGGUCCAUUGGCUCAUGAUAGCUACAGAAAAUUGAGAAUCUAAGCUGGUGUAAUACUUUUUUGAACUGCAAUUUUUUAAAACUUUGGACCAUGCCAAAGGAGUAUAAAAUUCUAUUGUUCAAUUAUUCUACAUGCUCAUCCUUGAGAUUACAAAACAUUUUCCAGAGUUAAUAGAGAAAUUGGCUUUUUUUUUUUGGUACUGGGGAUCGAACUCGGGUCCUUGCACUUGCACAGCAGGCAGAGAAACCACUGAGCUAAAUCCCCAGCCCAGAAAUUGGCUAUUUUUGAUGAACCCUUAUUCAGAAGGUAAAUUUUAAUAUUCUAACUGAUGCUAGAAACAAAGGAAAAUGUACAUCUGUCAUGAUAAACAUAAGUUCUAUUGGAUCCAGAAUUUUAAGACCUCGUGGACUCUUCUGGACCACGGAGGCCAUCAGAUAUUAUUUUGAAUCUCAGAUUUGAAGUAAGUGCAAUUGACCUGAUUUUGCUUACCCUGAUUUAAACUCAUAUAAAUUAGUGUGAUGGUAUCCAGCUUGAGCCCAUCUUCUCUGAACACUUAAAUGUGGACCCAACUCCAAGGCAGAAGCAGUAAACUGUAGUUGUCUUAAACUAGUGUCAGUCCAUACAUAGAUACAAUUGAGAGGUAUAUUCAUCCAGAGUAAUGGAGUAGGAGGUUGUUGUCAACUUGAUUUUCUGGUUUGUCCUUCCUAUGUUCCUUUUUGAAAUGAUAAGUCCUUAUUUUGUAUUUAAAUUUUUCCUCACUUUUAUGCACAAAAUUAACAUACUAUGUUUUUCACCUAAUUUUAUCUCCAGGAAAUUAUCAGUACAUGGUGCUCCACUCUAUUUUGUUUCAUGGCUGUACAGUACUCCAUUUUGUCCAUGUACCAAGUUGAUGCAACCAGUCUUGAUUAAUGCUUAACAAUCACAAAUAUUUCAUUAGUAACUGUGUAUAUGUAUUUUAUAUUGUUUUAUGUAUGUUCAAAUUAAAUUCAUGGAGAAAUUUCUCUGUUCAGGUUUGGUUAUAAAUGAUUGGUUAGGAUUGCCAAGCCCCCUGCCCUGAGGUUAUGCCAUUUUCCAUAUCCUUUGGCAAUGUAUAGCAUUACCUGUUACCUAACCAGCUACCAACAGAGUGCACAUUGCAGAAUGUAUUGCCAGUUUUAUGGGUAACAGAUGGAACAUCAUUGUAGUGUUCAUUAUUUGUUUUUCAUAUUAAUGAUAUUGCAUUUUUAAUAUUUCAUUUUUACAUCUCUUUUUGAGUAGUUGUUGAAGUUGUUUGUUCAAAUCUGUCCAAUCAUCUUCUUGUGUCUACUUUUUAACUGGGUUGUCUAUUAAUGAGCUGUAAGAGUUCUUUACAUAUUCUGGUCAUAGGUUAUAUGCAUUGUAAAUAUGGUCUGUUUAAGGACUACUUUUUAUUUUAACGAUGUCAUUUAAAGUUCCAAUUUUUUUUUAUGUCAUUUAAAGUUCCAAAUUUUGAGGGAAUCUCAUUUAUCAAUUUUUUUCUUUUAUACAUCGUGUUUUUUGUAUCCUAGGAAGUCCUUGCCUACACUAAAUUCAUAAAUAUUUUCCCUUAUAAUUUCUUCUUAUAGUUUUAGUCUUUCAUAUUUAGGUUCACAGAUCCUUUCAAGUUAUUUUUAUGUAUGGAAAUAAAAGAUUGAGGUUAAUAUUUUAUAUACAGAUACCAGGUGUUCUAGUGCCAUUUGCUGAAAAUGCUAUCUUUUCCUCUGCUCUUGAAUUGAGUUUAUAUUCUAUAAAAUGUUAAUGUUAAAUAAUCCUUCAAAACUCAGUGGACCAUAUAUGUGUGGUUCUAUUUGUAGAUUCUCUGUUUUAUUCCAAUGAUCUAUAUGUCUUUCCUUACACCAACACUGCCUUGAUUACUGUAGCUUUAGAGGAAGUCUUCAAAUUAGGUACUAAACAUCUUCCAACACUGUUUUUUUUUUCUUUUUCUUUUUACUUUUCUAGGCCCUUUAUACUCCUACAUAACUUUUAAAUUUCAAUAUCCAGUUCUUCAUUUAUAGCAGGUAUACACAGAUCUGAAUUUUUAUAUAUACCUUGUGUUUUCUAAUCCUGCUAAAUUCAAAUACAAGUUCUAGGGGCUCCUGGAGAUUUCUUAGUAUUUUCUCUGUAGAUGAUCAUUUUAUCUACAUAUAAAGAUUUUGCUUCUACCUUGCCAAUCCUAUCCUAAUUGUGUCAUUUUAUUGCCACUAUUUUGGUUUGGGCCUAUGUUUCAAAGUUUAAUGGACAGAUGAAGAGUAGGCAUAUCUGCCCUUGUUCCCCACCUUAGGGAGAAAGCAUUGUUUUCUCUAUUCAUAUAUGGUGUUUCUCCUGGAAGUAUGGAGUACAUGUCUUUUAUCUGUUGAGAAGGUUCUGUUCUACUUCUAGUCUCCUAAUAGCUUUUACCAUGAACAGCUGUAGAAUUUAGUCCAAUACUUUUUCUGCAACUACUGACAGGAUCGUGUGGCUUUUUCCUUUCCUCUGUUAAAAUGAUGACUUUUGGGGGUGGAUCUUCCAAUGCUGAACCAACACUGCCAUCCCUAUAACAAAACCACUUUCUACAUACUGCCAGAACUGACUUCUAAUAGUUUGUUUUCUUAAACAAAUUUCUACUUAUGUUCAUACUUUUUUCUUCUAUUAUCUUUAUCCAGUUUUAGGAUUAGCACAGUGUUGAUUUCCUAAAAUGGGAGAAGUGUUCCUUCUUUUUUCUGCUUUAAUUGUUUGAUAUAAUUUAUCAGUUAAAAUGUGUAUGAGCCUGCUGUUGUCAUAUAGGUAGGUUUUCAAGCUAGGAAUAUACUUUCUUUAAUAGGUGCUAUUCAAAUUUUAUAUUUCCUUCAGAGUUAGUUUCAUUAAUUUGUCUUCCAAGGUACUUCUUAGAAGUUGUCAAAUUUAUUUCAAAAAGAGAUUUUUGUAAUAUGCUUUCUAUAUCCUUUUAAAUUCUGUAAAAUCUGUGGCAAUUUCUCCUAGAUCUUGAUAUUGUAAUUUUAGAAAUGUAUAACUGAUAUUGUGUAAUAGGAAGAAAAGGUCUAAAGGAGCAGGGGAAGUGGGAGGGAUAGGGGGAAGGAAAGAAGGGAAAAUAAAAAAUAUGAGAAAAGGAAAAAAAUGGAAACAAAUAGGGAAGCGUGGAGGGGGUGAAGGGAGGGCAGGGGAAGGGGAAAAAAUAAGAACCAAGAUACAUCAUGUAAAGGUACAAGAUCCUAAUGAUGAAUGUAACUGUAUUGUAUACCUAAAAUGUACCAAUAAACUUAAUGGAAAGAAAGAAAAAAGAAAAGAAAACAGAAACUCAAAGCAUUAUGGGGAUCGUGGAUUUUCUUCUUUGCCUCUCUAUCCCCGAACUGCCUUGUUCUUACUUUCAAGUGGCUUAUGGAAAGGAUUAAAAGUGAAGGGUGAAAAUGAAAAAUAGGUGCUGUUUCUAUUGUCAGCCUUGGAAGUUCUGUGAACAGACUGAAAGUUCCUUCAAGGUCUAUGAAAAUAUUAGCAGAUGCCAAAAGGCCAGCAGCCAAGAUUUGUGUCUUUGUGCAGGAACUGAAUAGCUACCAACAGUUAGAAAAAUUUUAAAAACCUUGGCAAUGACAUAAAAGUCCUGUGAAAAGCAGUGAGAUCGAGAGAAAUGCUUUGAAAUAGAUUUAUGAACUUGUAAAAGAAUGUUUUCUACAGAUCCUAAGCCUCUAACUAUAUAGAAAUCUGACAUUUUAAGAUUAAGGAAGAACAUUUAUUUAUUCUCUACAUUAGUAAUAGUGGUUGAAGUAAACCUGAGCUAACUUAGGCCAUUAGAGAAGGGAGGUAAUGUGCAUAAUUGUUAGCAAAAAUUAAUGUUUACAACAAGCAAAUAUGUAAGUAUGUAAAACUAUUCUAGGUUGUCAGAAUAUUAACCCAUGACAUCUUAUAAGCUUUUUAUUAUUUUGGUAGUAAAUUAAUUAGUUACAUUCAGAAUAUUAUAAUUGACCUUCUUAAUUAUUUUAUGCUUCCAGAUAUUUAAAUCACAAAUAUAUGGUUUUGUUCAUCUUUUUAAAAAAUAUAGUCAACAUAAUAAAAAUAUUUAAUCUGUUUAUAAGAAUUGAAAUCAAUGGCAAGAGUUAAAGGUGCUUUUUGUACAAAGGAAUUUGAAUUUUUAAGAUAAAAUAUAUAUGAUAAAGUUGUGGUUCAGGAAAAUCUUUGGGAUUUAAUUACUGAUAAAAUUAUAAAACAUGUGGGCCAAGGAUUUAGCUCAAUGGUGCCACCACCUGCCUCACAAGCGCAAGGUCCUGAGUUCCAUCCCCAGUACCAAAAAAAAAUAUUAUAAAACAUGUAACUACCUCAUUAAUUCUUAGUUAAUAAUUUCCUUCAUUAUAAGCAGAACCCAUAGUUUGAUUUAUCUUUAUGAAGAAUGAAUUUUUAACUUUAUUUUUAUCAGUACAUAUUUGCAGUUCAUAAUGAUCGCAUUCCUCAUGGGGAGUUGGCACAUGUACAUAACACAUCUUAAUUCUUUUUUCAUCCUCUUCCUCUUCCUUCCCUUCCCCUUCCCUACAUCUCUUUGUCCACUUCCCCUUUGCAAAGGAUCUAUCUGUUUCCUAUUAUCUAUCUUUUAUUUUGUUCUUCAAUUUAUUUAUACUUUGGUUUUCUCAUAUAAGAGAAACCAUGCGAUAUUUAAGCUUGGAGGAAUGAAUUUAUUAAUUUUAUUUCUGUAAGAACGUCUAUUAAUAUACUUGGGUGUUAUGUCAGAAAACAAACAGUAGAGGGCACUUUAGUUCUCUAACAAAAUAAGCUUAGUCCAAAAUCUUAUAUAAAUCAAUGAAAUAGACAAUAAAAUUUGAACUACCCAAUAAAGGUUAUAGAAAAGUGAAGGCAAGUUCCUGGCUUCCCAUAGCCUAAUAAAAGAUAUGAUGAGCAGAUGAGCAGCAGUUUCUGUCUUUAGUCAAUCCAAAUAACAAUUGGGUGUCACAUGAAAAAUGCAAAUGUUCUAAGAAUUGCAAAUUAGUGAAUCCAGCAUUUUGAGAACAUUUCAUUUAAAAAACUCACACUUAUUUUAAAUUGGCCAAUCUAUUGAAUGUACUUGAUUUAAAUCAGUAAAUUGUCAUUAUCCAGAAUCGCAAGAAGUAACUAUAGCAGAAGUAGCAUAGUUCAUUUCCUUAGACAUGUUACUUAUUCAUAGUUCCCUCUAAAAUCAUUUUUAUCGUCAUCCUUGUCAUUACUGUCAUAAUCUAAUUUCAUGGUAUAAUGGCUACUUUCACGUAUCUUCCACUUUAAUUUUUCCAAGAUGAAUAUAUGAAACAAAAAUAUCAGAAAAAAAUACAUGAUUAAGUGUAAUUGUAUUGUUCAGUGUGUAAAUGGCUUCAGACAAAUUGUGGUAACUUGUGCAAUUUUCUCGGGCUUAGUUUUUACCUGUCAUAAAUGAAGUUCUAAAUUUAAUGAUGAGAUUCUAUAACAUUGUCAUCUGUUCUUAUUUUGUAUAUUAUUCUAGCAAAUUUAGUUAUCUGUGCCCUAGGUCUCAACAGAUUUGUGGCAAAUCUUAACUGUUUUAGGGCUCAAAGACCCUACAUUUUUAUAAAAGAUAGGGAGCUUAACUGCCUAAAAAUGCUAUAAUGGACACUUUACUCAAAAUGACCAUUCAUUUCAGGAGGUUCAAGGGCCCACAGCAAUCAAUGCAUAGGCUUUACAAACACUACACAAGAAUCUCUGACAGAGGCGAGGGUUACAUGGCUCCUUCGUACACAUUUGGGUGCUUAGUACUAGCAACUUUGGAUGUCACUGUUGCCUCAAGAUGAGCAGUGAAGCCGGAGAGAAUGUUGACAUGCCACAAUUCUGGACUUCAUCCCAUAAACCACAGGGCGUAAUCUGAAGUGUUUAAAUAUACAAGUGGAAAAUGUGCAUUUUAGGAAGUAAAAUCAGAGAAUAGAACAUUUUUAAAAAAUAGAAAGAAAAGGAAAACAGGAAGUAGGAAGACUGUCAGUCUAUUGGCUUCAUAGCUCAGGUGAGAUACAUUGAUAACCUGUUUUUAAAAGUCUUCCAAAAUUAGGUGUGUUCCCUCUUCUAAGAUAGGCCUACUUUAAUCCUGCACAAUAAAUAAAGAGACAAAGUUUUCAAACACUGGAGGACAUUUGGAAACCAUACAAAUGACUGUUUUGCAAUUUGCGAAAUCAUUUUCUACUGGAAGCAGCAGGUAGAUAUUAGCAGCCUUGCUUUUAUGCCCUUUUCUCUAUGUGGAGUACUCCAAAAGCGUAAGCAGCUUAGGAUCCACUGGCAACUCCUCCUGAACAGACUGGCAUGGAGGGCUUUGCUCACCAUCCACAUCCACCUCAGGGACAAGCUCUGACCACUUACGUUACAAUGCUUGCGGCAGAAACAUAAAAUUUAUGGAGGCUGGGUCAGUCAGGAAAUUCCUCUCCAUUGCCAGACAGCUAAACUAAAACAGCAAGCAAGCAACAUUUCUGAAUGGAGAGGUUUAUCACAGGCAUUUAGUAGAAUUAAAUGAAAAAAUAUGUAUCAGGGUCCAUAGAUUGUCUCCUAGAAAAUUUGCAUAAAUCCUUAUAUUGCCACACAUUGUGAAUCUCAUUUGUUUCCUGUAAGGAAGUGGUGAGGAUGGGAUACAGAGGUGGAAUAAGAAGACUUUGACUAAGGGCCUCCAAGAAUGGGGCCAAAAUAAAGCAAAGUCAAUAGAAUUGAAGAAAAUUAGGUUUAAGUAUUUACUCAUUGAGUCUACUCAAAAUGUGUUAUUUAGACUGAUGUAGGAAGUGAAACACAGUUCUAAACUAUUUAUAGAACAAAUCUCACGUGGCUCUUUGGAGACACCCUCCAUACUUCCCCGGGUGGCCCAGGCCACACUCCAGCCUUGUGCCUGUCCACUCCUGCCUCAGGUCUAUGUUCAGUGGACAGCAGGCUGAUGGACACACCCUGCCUCACAAUGUCUCUGUGGCAUGAUGUCCCCUUGAGCCAGAUGCCCCUCCCCUUGACUUUCCACAUGGUACAAUCCUAUUCAUCCCCAAAUCGCAAUCCCAAAGCCAUCUUCUCUUGUUAAACUCAAGUGAGCCCCCACUGUCUACUUCCUGCAAGCAGAAUGGAUCACCUUUCUCUGCCAUCUGGGCCUGUGCUCAGAUGCCAAAUGGCCACCACAACAUCCACAAGUACAAGUAAUACGUCCUUCUUCCCACUGUCUGUCCACUCCUCGAAGAAGGAGCCUGGUCAAAUUCCUGGUGUCCCCCUGCCUCCUAGCACAACAUUGGCACACAUUAAAAAACAGGUCAAUGAAGGACCCUAGUUAGCAAGACAGACUCCAUAUUGCUGUUUGACCCACCUGCCUGUCCUUUAGAUGAACUCAGAAGGAGGAAGCUUAGAAACUUCCUCCCCUUAACAGUUAAUCAACUUUUGUUUUACAAAUGUUCUAACAGCAGGACAUUCUGCUUCUGUACCUUUUGCUUGCUUUACUAGUUCUAUCCCAUAGGGGGGGCCUAGAAACUGUUGGCCCCAAAGGUGUAUAAAACAUGUUUGUCUCCCCCCAGUUGAGGCUGGAGUCUGAUGCUCAGCUCGGGUCCCGGCCGGUAAUAAACUCCUGUGUGGAUUUCAUAUCGGUCUCUGGUUGGUUCUCUCUCCCUGGGUCUAACAGUCAAUAUUUUUUAAAGGAUGGAAUUCUAGUCAAAAGGCUAUUGGAAUAAUCCAGGCAAAAGGCUUAUAUGAGCCUAAAGAUGGAAGAUAGAACUAGGAAAGAAAAUUCAAAACUAUCAAAAUGGAAUAGAAUACAUUAAAUGGGUGAUGAAACACAGAAAUGAGAGAUAAGACCUCGGAGAGGAUUCUGACCAAAUAUUCUGCCUCAAAGUCUGAGAUGCUAUAAACCUGGAAAGAGUAGGACAAAAAGAGAAAAGUUAAUUUCUGUUUCAGACAAGCAGAGGAUGUCCAUGUGGGAGUGUUAAGCAGAGCACUGUGCAUUCAGAAUUGAAGCUGUGAGAGAAGCUCAGGGCUUGGAGCAGGACAGGAACCUGCCGAGCAGGGGCUGCCAAGAGAAGGGAGCCAAUGGCUGCAUUUGGGGUCCUGCCUCUAUUUACCAGAAAUAGGGGAACAAAGAGAAGAACUCUGAUGAGAGAUCAAAUGCAGAACUCCAAGAAAGGAGACCAAAGGUGUGGAAAUUGCCCCUGAGCUACAAGAGGACCAAAGAGGGUGUGGUCAUGGCAACCUCAGAGUGGCUCCUCCUGAACCGUGAGCCCAAAGGGGAAGGGUGGGAUGGGGACAGUGAGCAUGGCAUGCUCCUCAAGCACCAGUCAUAACAGGAGGGAGGAUGCUCUGCAAACUCCAGGAAUCAUUUCUCAUUGUGACCUACAUCGCCUUUUAACUGUAUGUUGUUUUAAACAAGUUUCAUUAAAGUUGGAGUGGCCCAAAGUUACCAAGAUAAAAUUUGCUUUUUCAUUUGUGAUGUUAAAAAUAGAAUCUAUAGAUAAGAUUGGGCUCUCUUUCUCUUUCUCCCUCUCCCUCUCCCUCUCCAUCUGGUACUGGAGAUUGAACACAGGGCCUUUGCAACGAGCAAUGUCCACAGCUUUGAGGCAGGGUCUUGCUAAUUCACUAAAAUUGGCCAGGCUAAGCUUGAUCUUGUGGCCCUCCUGCCUCAGCUGCCCAGAGUGCUGAGAUUACAGAUGACCACCACCAUGUGCAGCUUUUACUUUCUUUUAAAGUACAUCACUUAAUUCUCAAUGUACAUCAACUUAUUUUUGUGAAUUUUUUCCCUAAAAAGAUGAGAAAGAGAGACUAACAGUAAAUCCAGUUGAAUCACAUAUGCUGUCCUGCCUAUCUAGGGUGGGGUCAGGGUAUGAUUGUGAGCCCUUGAAAUGAUCAUUUCUCACCUGGCUUCCCUCCUAGCACUCCAGAUUGCAGGUUGUAUUAUUGUUCAGCAGAGCAAAGGGAGCGCUGGGAUGUCUGCCUUCCUUGCAGCUGAGCACUUUUUAUUGUCUCCCCAACUAGCAGAGAGGUCUGUGGAUUUUACAUCACAAUCAUUCAGGAUCAUGGCUCUCUUUAUCCCAUGCCAUUUCCAGCUCAGUAGGUUUCACUGUACUGAAUUUAGAACUGAAGACUUGUGUGUUUUAAUUUUGUUUUAACUAAUUACAUUUUAAAUGUAUUUUAUGAAGCAGCUUUGGGAAGUUUAUUAAAAUCCAUUUAAAAGAGCCGGGGAUUUAGCUCAGUGGUUUUGCCGCCUGCUGCACAAACGCAAGGACCAGAGUUCUAUCCCUGGUACCAAAAAAAAAAAAAAAAAAAAAAAUCCAUUUAAAAAGAAGGCUUUGCAGAGUUCAAAUAUACUAAAUUAAAUGAAAUAUUCAGGAUUACCUCAUUUAGUUGUUGACUCCCUAGAAAUUAUACCUGGUGGAUUUCUGGAAAGAAAAUGGUUCUUUCCCAGAGGAAGGAAAAGGAAACUAAUGGAAAAAGCUUAAAGAAGCAGAACAAACUGAGGAAGGAGACUCUGCCUCUAGUAAUAGCAGAGGAGGCAACGCCUGCUGAAAACCAGUUUUGAGAAAAGUAUCUUAUUUGCAAUCUACUUAGAUAUAAUUUACUUGCUUGAUUGUUCAGUAUUUAGGAACACAGUAGUGUUUCCCUGCUAGAAUGUGAGCUGCACAAGGCAUGGGUCUUUGUUUUUGCUGCAGUGACCUAAGCCUCCAGAAUAGCAUCCAGCACAUACCAGCUGUCACGUAAUCACUGGUAUCUGGGUGAGUGAAUUAUCUACAAACUCUUCCGUCUUGGAAGUGCUUACUUUCUUCCUCAGAGGAGCUCUCUUUAGGGUCCCUCCUGCACCUCUCCCUCUUCCUGCCCAGUGUCCUUGCAAUGCAUCUGAGUUCCCUGGAGAACAGUCUUAGGAGGCCAUGGUCAGCUCCCCGGAGAACAGUCUUAGGAGGCCAUGGUCAGCUCCCCCUCCACAGUGUAGUAAAGAGAAUCCCUGGGGCACAGUGACGAGAAAGUGAGCCUGUGGCCCUCUUGGUCUUAGCUGGAAAGGAGAGGGGAAUAAAAAAGGAAAACCAAUUCAAGGACUUAAUCCUACUGAGACCACAAACUGGGAGAGAACUUUGAGUGUGGGUGCCACACUGUACCCCAAGUUGCUCUGAUUUGUUGUGGAUUGUCUCAGGACUGAUGGUAAAGGCUGGAGUGAAAGGCUCUGUAGAUAAUAGUCUCUCCCCAUCCCCUUACUGAAAGAGUACACUGGCUACAGUAUUGGAUUGAAAGAGAUAAGAAACUAAGUCAUAAUUCUGAGAUAUCUCAUGACCUGCCUGUCCGCGAGUGACAGCCUGGCUGGCAAAAUCAAAAUGGCCCAAGAAGGGGCACUGUCAAAGCACAAGGGUGCAGGAGAGCAGACAGGAGGAGGUUGUACUUGCUGACCCGCCAGACCCUCCUUCGCCCACCACCUCUCUUCUCCUCUCUUAUCCUUUCUGUAAUCUUUUGCAUACCUAAUUCCAUCCUAGCAUGAGCUUUUUGGAGGACUUGAACUGAUUUACCCUCAACAGCCUGCUAACUAAAAUCCUCCAGUAUCGGUGCUGAAGAAAGAGACUGUGGGUAAAUGUGCUAUCUUCUAAAAGCCUUACUGGGAAUAAUGUACCCCCAAAUGUAGAUGGCAGGUGCCAAUUCUGAUCAUGUGAUGGCAUCACUGAGGGAGGUUAAUGAUCCGUUUCAUAGGUAGCUUUGGAAUAUCUUUAAACCUUUUAAAUAGGUAUAUGAUGUCAGAUGUGUUUGCAAAUCUCCCUGAAGAAGGUGGAGAGCUUUUAGCACAUUCAUCUACAAAGUUAUCAACAGUGCCGGUUAGUUAACUUGGUAGUUUGUUCACAAGUGACGGUAACUUAAAAUCUACAUUACAUAACUUAUUUUAUGCAAUAAUAAUGAUGCUUCUAUUUCCCACCCCAUGCUAAAUGAACUUCAGUUAUCUCUAGAGCUCUGCCAACUAAGACUUCAGUACACAGAGAACCAGUGCUACAUCCUUUACCUAACACCACCCUUUAAAAGAAAUUAUGCCCUAAUUUACAAAGUUCCUAGCAGAAAAGAAAAGUACUUGAGAAAUCAGUAGGUUAAUUUUUUGUUUGGGGACUAAAUCUCAGUUGAAGAUGCUUCAACUCCCAGCCCAGACAGUGCCGCCCAUUAACCCACAGGGAGGAGAGGCGGGAAGCUCCUCCAGCAGCUGUUCUCUGGGACAAUGUUUCCACCAGCAUCACUUCCAUCAGAAGCAGGCAGGACAUCUGUGUCAGCAGCACAAGUGUUCUGUGUCAGCAUCUCUGUUUCACACUACCCGCUAAGUGCAUAAAGUUUAAUUAGACCAAAGGCCAGGAGUGGUUUGUUGAUAGCUCCACCUGGAAGCUAUGGCCUCCUAGGAGAGUAUAGUUCCUGCCCCACCCUAGGGAACCCUCUAUGUCAGGAAAAAGCCAACCGCUCACAGCUCAUGGCUUGUUCCCUACAGGAAACUAUUCUCAAAAAGUAAUAACCUCACCCCUGAAUCUAGUGGAAUAUUUAUGGGGAGCUGGGAAUCCGUAAUUUGUCUGGACACUCACAGACACCUCUGUGCUCUGCUACUGCUGACCUCAGCCAAGGCCCCUGAGUUCAUCCCAGGCAAGUUUAUCUGCUUUCUCUCUGACUUCAGUGGCAGGAGGGAAGCAGACAGCAGACAGCCUGAGCUCUCUGUCAGGCGUCAGGCAGGACUGAGGGAAGGGACAGAUUGUGCCUCUCACAGACAGUGGUGAGAGUCCUAGGAUGAAAUGAGAACUCCCCUCCCUUCCCCUCUUCUCUCAGUGUUGAGUCUGCAUGAAAAAUACUUGCUCUGGAAUCUCCAUUUUUUUCUGUUCCUAGUAGGAUUGAGUGAUCAAUCUUGAAAAAUUCAGAAGAGAUGCUGCAGGGCAGGGAAAGGGCAAUGCAGAUUUUGGUCUUUCCAGUUACCAAGGGGAGAGUUAAACCCAGUAAGUUUUAGAACAUAUCGAAGUACUUGAAAACCUUUUUAAGAAAUAAACAUAAGAGGGGACUUAAUAAAACUGUGCUAAGAGGAGGAGAAAUCAGAGGUUUCGCUGUGAUGAUGACAAUCAGAUACUAACUUCUAACAAAACAGUUACUACCUCCAGCUACUACUUUCCUGACUACUAGCUGAGUGCCUUAUAUUUCCAGAUCUCCUGGAACCUUCUUUUUCUAAGAGGAACAAUCACCUACAUCCUGUGUUAACAUAUCUGUUCUGAAGCUCACACACACACACACACACACACACACACACACACACACACUCCAGCACUUUUAAAGCAUUACUCUUCAUUGCAGAAAUGUCAUAGAAUAGCCAAGAAAUUUAAGACAGUUAUCAUGAUUUAGACCAAGUAAAAGCUCUUGUCUUGGGUUUUAGACAUUUGCUUGAAAAAAUCUCUAUGCCAGGCCCUGACAGAGACUCAGAAAGGACAAUGGAUCAUUUAGUGUGGGGCCACUCAUGUCCUCAACCAGUAGCACUUAGACUAUUCCGCCAAAUGACUGAGUAAACCCCACUAGUUCUUGCAAAAUAUGAUAAACAUGAUUUCUUCUGUUUUGCCAAUGUCUAGUUAAUAUUUUAAAUAUAUACUUUCUUAGCAUUCCCGGAAUUACAGACAUGAGGAUCAGGGUAAAAAUACACAGCAUUCGGUGGCACAUGUUACUUUGUUAAUGCAGAGUAACAGUUUUCACUUGGACUGCAUCUUUUUGAAGGAUUGCAAAGUGCUUUACUCCUGUCACUGCAGAGACAUUAUUCAAUCACUUUGAAGACAUAAAGAACCAAAAAAAAAUCUCUGAAAAUGAAAGAAGAGAAAUGCUUUUUCUACUAAUAAAAAGGAAAAGGGAAGGUCAUAGGAAAUUACAGACUGCUGGUCUUAUAUGAGCACCAAAACAAAUGACCAAAUAAGCCUCUACCACACCUCCUAACUAGCAGUGAACACAACUCUUUAGUGAGCAUCACACCAACUAGGAUUAUGUUGGGCUUUGUUUCUGUUAUGUUUUGUUUUUUGUUUGGAAUCACACUUAAUGUCAACAGGUUUUUGAAUCCAGCAUUAAAUAAACAUGAUGCUAUGCAUGAGGAGUGAGAAGACAUGGGUCUAGCCUUGUCUCUUCCACAUGAUUCCGAGUAAACCUCACUUAUCCCUUUAUUUGAUGGAUUACCCACCAGUAAAUCAGAUAAUACUUUUAACUUGUCAGUGUCUCUUUAACUUCAGCCCUUAAGAAGCUUAAAACUGGGACUCCAAAUCCCUAGGAUAUUUCCAUCUCUAGUAAACACUCCACCUAGACUGGCUACCAGACUCACAGGAUCCCACUGCUGGAAUUCGUCCCUUUGGUAUGGCAGGUUCAGCAUGGAAAAUGGUCACAUCUGAAAUCUAGGGUCCGACUGCGUGUCCCUAGCUGAUCAGUGCAGUGCGCACACUUCAUUCAAACAGGCUCAAUCAAAGGCUUUCUCCCAGGACACCAAAUGGAAAGACAGAAAGACUCACAAAUAUUAAAAAUGGUCAGUUUAGAGAGUCCAGAAGACAUUUUUUAAACUGUGAAAGAAAGGAAUGGAACAAAAAGGAAUGGAAUGGACCGGGAGUGCUGGGAUCCAGAUGUUCAGCUGUACAACUCUCCACCUCCAUCUGGAGUCUGCCAGGUGCCCUCGUGUUCUGAGACCCAGGCCUGUGGGUCAUCCUGAGGGCCCACAAGUGGAUCCUGGCUCCAGGAGGUACCAGGUGAGGGAACCACUUUGCUGACUGCUCAAUGUUUCUUUCAUGGAUCAGAUGAGCUUAGGCUACCAGGAUGAUAUAUGAACACGCUGGUCCCUGUGGGAGAACAUCACUACCAGGAAGAACAAAGUUGGUUUU